CCUACGGGAGGCAGCAGUGAGGAAUAUUGGUCAAUGGGCGCGAGCCUGAACCAGCCAAGUAGCGUGAAGGAUGACUGCCCUACGGGUUGUAAACUUCUUUUAUAAAGGAAUAAAGUGAUGCACGUGUGCCUUUUUGUAUGUACUUUAUGAAUAAGGAUCGGCCAACUCCGUGCCAUACGCCGCGGUAAUACGGAGGAUCCGAGCGUUAUCCGGAUUUAUUUGGUUUAAAGGGAGCGUAGAUGGGUUGUUAAGUCAGUUGUGAAAGUUUGCGGCUCAACCGUAAAAUUGCAAUUGAUACUGGCAGCCUUGAGUACAGUUGAGGUAGGCGGAAUUCGUGGUGUAGCGGUGAAAUGCGUAGAGAUCACGAAGAACUCCGAUUGCGAAGGCAGCCUACUAAACUGCCACUGACAUUGAUGCUCGAAAGUGUGGGGAUCAAACAGGAUUAGAUACCCUUGUAGUC
Molecule: ribosomal RNA, 460 nt
Filed under: uncultured bacterium
Lineage: Bacteria
Description: partial 16S ribosomal RNA
Rfam family: Bacterial small subunit ribosomal RNA
Source: RNAcentral